This 392-nucleotide ribosomal RNA is filed under the name uncultured bacterium. RNAcentral's name for it is "partial 16S ribosomal RNA". It matches the Rfam family "Bacterial small subunit ribosomal RNA", at positions 523 to 918 of the family's 1533-position model. The record is from RNAcentral.
AUACGUAGGGGGCGAGCGUUGUCCGGAAUUAUUGGGCGUAAAGGGUUCGCAGGCGGUCUGAUAAGUCAGAUGUGAAAGGCAAUGGCUCAACCAUUGUAAGCAUUUGAAACUGCCAGACUUGAGUUAAGGAGAGGAAAGUGGAAUUCCUAGUGUAGCGGUGAAAUGCGUAGAUAUUAGGAGGAAUACCAGUGGCGAAGGCGACUUUCUGGACUUAUACAGACGCUGAGGAACGAAAGCGUGGGGAGCAAACAGGAUUAGAUACCCUGGUAGUCCACGCCGUAAACGAUGAGUGCUAGGUGUUGGGGGUCAAACCUCGGUGCCGCAGCUAACGCAUUAAGCACUCCGCCUGGGGAGUACGUACGCAAGUAUGAAACUCAAAGGAAUUGACGGGG